CCUAUGGGUGACAGCAGUGGGGAAUAUUGCACAAUGGGGGAAACCCUGAUGCAGCGACGCCGCGUGAGUGAGGAAGUAUUUCGGUAUGUAAAGCUCUAUCAGCAGGGGAGAAAAUGACGGUAACUGCAAAGGAAGCACCGGCUAACUCCGUGCCAGCAGCCGCGGUAAUACGGAGGGUGCGAGCGUUAAUCGGAAUUACUGGGCGUAAAGCGCUCGUAGGCGGGAUGUCAGGUCAAGGGUGAAAUCCCCGGGCUCAACGUGGGAACUGCCUUUGAAACUGGCAAACUGGAGUGUGUGAGAGGAUAGUGGAAUUCCAGGUGUAGGAGUGAAAUCCGUAGAUAUCGGGAGGAACAUCAGUGGCGAAGGCGAAUAGCUGGCACAUAACUGACGCUGAGGAGCGAAAGCGUGGGUAGCAAACAGGAUUAGAUACCCCGGUAGUC
This 440-nucleotide ribosomal RNA is filed under the name uncultured bacterium. RNAcentral's name for it is "partial 16S ribosomal RNA". It matches the Rfam family "Bacterial small subunit ribosomal RNA", at positions 338 to 795 of the family's 1533-position model. The record is from RNAcentral.